Eriocheir sinensis (Chinese mitten crab) is the source of this 996-nucleotide long non-coding RNA. RefSeq lists it as uncharacterized. The record is from RefSeq and is a predicted model, not a curated record. The transcript has 2 exons. NCBI's taxonomy places the organism in Eukaryota, Metazoa, Arthropoda, Malacostraca, Decapoda, Varunidae.
AUCAAUAAUUAUAAGCCCCUCCGAGGCAUACCCAUUGACUAAUUUCGUAGCAACUUUUGAGAUUAUUGAGUAAAUGGUGAGUGUGUAGCGUGUAUGUAGUUUGGUGUGAAAAGUAAGAAAGUGAGAAAGCCAUUCGUGAGUUUUUGAACUCUUCUUUUUGUUGUUGAGAAACAUUAGAGAAACGUCGAGAUAUUGUCCGGAGGCAUUGUUCUGAGAGUGGUCAGGAAAUGUCAGGGGGCAUUAUCGCGUGGGUCGUCAUCGGGUUGUCCAUCGUGUCCAAAGAGUGCCAGGGGUCUGUCAGGGGUCAGUAGGUCGUAUAAUCGAGUUAUCAGUCCGUGUCCAAAGAGUGCCAGGGGUCUGUCAGGGGUCAGUAGGUCGUAUAAUCGAGUUAUCAGUCCGUGUCCAAAGAGUGCCAGGGGUCUGUCAGGGGUCAGUAGGUCGUGGGUCGUCAGGAGUUGUCAGUCCGUGUGUUUUUUUAGUCUGGCUGAGCCGCUGUCUCCCCAGAAGAGUCUCAGCCAUAACUUUGGUGUUGUCUGUUGGUCUGGAUAAGCCGCAUUCUCCUCAUAGGAGACUCACUCUUACCAACACGCAGCACCGUUUUUUUGUUGUUUUAUGAUUUUUUUGUUCUUUUUAUAGUUAGUGACGCUCUGCCCUGCUGGGGGGAUUUCUUCCCCGCGCGGCAGUUCCUCUUGGAGGCGUCAGUCAUUAUGAUUAUGGUGAUUUGUACCGGUGACCUAAGCUGAUAUAAGGGUCACAGCUCGUCUGGCUACUUCUUAGGAAGGUCAGCACGUCUUGCGGGAACUUCAACGCCCCCCCCGCCGGACCUUCGGGAUCCCCGGCACCGCCAUGGACGCCCCGGGGGAGCCAGGGCGCCCUACCGGGGCCCCUCCAGUCCUGCGAUGCUCACCAGCAAGACCAAGGACUCGCUGGUGCUCCCCAGCCCCGACGAUUCGAGGAGGGCGGGUGCAAGAACGCGCUUCUCAAAAGUGCCAGACG